Oncorhynchus keta (chum salmon) is the source of this 492-nucleotide long non-coding RNA. RefSeq lists it as uncharacterized. The transcript is spliced from 3 exons. Lineage: Eukaryota; Metazoa; Chordata; Actinopteri; Salmoniformes; Salmonidae. The record is from RefSeq and is a predicted model, not a curated record.
UGUGGUUUAUUAACGUUUAUUAAGGUUAGCUUUACCCUGCAAACAAAGAUGAGAAAACACUGUCAAGUCUGUGUCCCAAAUUAAACUCUAUUCUCUAUAUAGUGCACUACCUUUGGCCAGACACCCUUCCCCAUAGGGUCCUGGUGAAAAGUAGUGCACUACCUUUGGCCAGACCCCCUUCCCCCCCAUAGGUCCUGGUGAAAAGUAGUGCACUACCUUUGGCCAGACCCCCUUCCCCCCCAUAGGUCCUGGUGAAAAGUAGUGCACUAUAAAGGGAAUUGGGUGCCAUUUGAGAGGCAGACAGGGAUCUAGGCCAGACAGGGAUCUAGGCCAGACAGGGAUCUAGGCCAGACAGGGAACUAGGCCAGACAGGGAUCUAGGCCAGACAGGGAUCUAGGCCAGACAGGGAUCUAGGCCAGACAGGGAUCUAGGCCAGACAGGGAUCUAGGCCAGACAGGGAUCUAGGCCAGACAGGGAUCUAGGCCAGACAGG